GAUGAAGAACGCAGCGAAAUGCGAUAGGUAAUGUGAAUUGCAGAAUUCAGUGAAUCAUCGAAUCUUUGAACGCACAUUGCGCCCUAUGGUAUUCCUUAGGGCAUGCCUGUUCGAGCGUCACUACACACCUUAUCACAAUAUUUGUGGUCUUGGCAGGAGUGAAUUGCUGGUCUAUGGAAGUAUUCCAGCAGUACACAAUGCUAAAAAAUAUGGGAAGGUUACCAGAUAUGAACAACAGACUUUGUAAAUGGUUGUAGGACCUAGAUCAGUCACAAGUCAUGUCUGGUCCCUUACCUUAAGGACCCCCAUCCUAGAUGAACUAUGGGUUGACCUCGGAUCAGGUAGGAAUACCCGCUGAACUUAAGCAUAUCAAUAAGCGGAGGA
This 384-nucleotide unclassified non-coding RNA is filed under the name soil metagenome. Its description in RNAcentral is "partial contains 5.8S ribosomal RNA, internal transcribed spacer 2, and large subunit ribosomal RNA". The stretch from base 1 to 120 matches the Rfam family "5.8S ribosomal RNA", at positions 35 to 154 of the family's 154-position model. The record is from RNAcentral.